UAAGUUCGGACACUUUUUAGCGCGGACCCGACGUCCAUAUAAUUCUAAGUCAAUGAUCUUGGGGCAUAUUCUGUAAGAUCCCUCAGCCAUUUUGGAUUUUGUCGGACCACGCUGUCACACCUGUUGGAGUGGUCGACGUCACGCACCCGUCAUCGACUGGUGCUGCCAUCGUCAAUGUCACCGGCGCCAUCUGCGGACGCCUCUAACAAUGGGACAGAAAUAGAAAUAGAAGAUGCACCGAAGAAAAAUGGAACCAAUGGAGAGGAUUUUAAGUGAUCGGGCGAAGUAUCUACAUCCUAUCGU
Long non-coding RNA from Hyposmocoma kahamanoa, 303 nucleotides. RefSeq lists it as uncharacterized. NCBI's taxonomy places the organism in Eukaryota, Metazoa, Arthropoda, Insecta, Lepidoptera, Cosmopterigidae. The record is from RefSeq and is a predicted model, not a curated record. The transcript is spliced from 3 exons.